Molecule: long non-coding RNA, 584 nt
Filed under: Homo sapiens (human)
Lineage: Eukaryota; Metazoa; Chordata; Mammalia; Primates; Hominidae
Description: HSALNT0395796
Source: RNAcentral
GCGGCCCGGGCUGCGGCCCCGGGUCCGAGGAGGCCCGGGGAGACCCGGAGGAGGUCAGAAGGCCUUCAGGGUCCCCGGGAUGGGGUGGAAACUGAGACCCAGAGAGCCGUGACUUGACUGAUCCCACAGCCAGGAAAUGGUGGAGCCUGGAUUUGAACCCCAGCUUUUAAGAAGAAGGUGCCACUGUCCUGGAAGAACUCUCAGGACAGCAUUAGUGUCUCAGGGAUCCCCCUAAUCGGAGGGGCCUUAAGCCUAAUCAUGAUUGUCACUGAAGAUCCAGGAGGGCUUCCUGGAGGAGGAGGCAGCUCCAUUCUGAAAUGCCAAGGGUACAGCUUUAUUGGGACAGCCAGUGUCUCUGAAUAUGUAGGUUUUGCACAGAGCUUGUACUGCCCCAGGGCCUGUACACUGCCUGUCCCCUCUGCCUUGUGCACUCUUUCCCUAGAUGUCCAAAUGGCUCCUUUCCUCACCUACCCCAAAUCUCAAUUCCAGUGUUUCCCCAGCCUCCCCUCAUUUCAGUAAUCACUCUGCAGUGAGCUAGGAUUGCGCCACUGCACUCCAGCUUGGAUAAGAGAACAAGACCCUGU